UACGAAGGGGGCUAGCGUUGCUCGGAAUCACUGGGCGUAAAGCGCGUGUAGGCGGCAUGGCAAGUCGGGUGUGAAAGCCCUCAGCUUAACUGAGGAAGUGCGCCCGAAACUGCCGUGCUUGAGUGCCGGAGAGGGUGGCGGAAUACCCCAAGUAGAGGUGAAAUUCGUAGAUAUGGGGAGGAACACCGGUGGCGAAGGCGGCCACCUGGACGGUAACUGACGCUGAGACGCGAAAGCGUGGGGAGCAAACAGG
RNAcentral lists this ribosomal RNA (253 nucleotides) under uncultured bacterium. RNAcentral describes it as "partial 16S ribosomal RNA". It matches the Rfam family "Bacterial small subunit ribosomal RNA", at positions 524 to 776 of the family's 1533-position model. The record is from RNAcentral.